UGGUAGUNCACGCCGUAAACGAUGAGUGCUAGGUGUUAGGCCCUUUCCGGGGCUUAGUGCCGGAGCUAACGCAAUAAGCACUCCGCCUGGGGAGUACGACCGCAAGGUUGAAACUCAAAGGAAUUGACGGGGGCCCGCACAAGCGGUGGAGCAUGUGGUUUAAUUCGAAGCAACGCGAAGAACCCUACCAGGUCUUGACAUCCCGAUGCUAUUCUUAGAGAUAGGAAGUUACUUCGGUACAUCGGAGACAGGUGGUGCAUGGUUGUCGUCAGCUCGUGUCGUGAGAUGUUGGGUUAAGUCCCGCAACGAGCGCAACCCUUAUUGUUAGUUGCCAUCAUUAAGUUGGGCACUCUAGCGAGACUGCCGGUAAUAAACCGGAGGAAGGUGGGGAUGACGUCAAAUCAUCAUGCCCCUUAUGACCUGGGCUACACACGUGCUACAAUGGUCGGUACAACGAGUUGCGAGCCGGUGACGGCAAGCUAAUCUCUGAAAGCCGAUCUCAGUUCGGAUUGGAGGCUGCAACUCGCCUCCAUGAAGUCGGAAUCGCUAGUAAUCGCGGAUCAGCACGCCGCGGUGAAUACGUUCCCGGGCCUUGUACACACCGCCC
Molecule: ribosomal RNA, 607 nt
Filed under: uncultured bacterium
Lineage: Bacteria
Description: bacterial SSU rRNA
Rfam family: Bacterial small subunit ribosomal RNA
Source: RNAcentral